Molecule: ribosomal RNA, 253 nt
Filed under: uncultured bacterium
Lineage: Bacteria
Description: partial 16S ribosomal RNA
Rfam family: Bacterial small subunit ribosomal RNA
Source: RNAcentral
UACGAAGGGGGCUAGCGUUGCUCGGAAUCACUGGGCGUAAAGCGCACGUAGGCGGACUCUUAAGUCGGUGGUGAAAUCCUGGAGCUCAACUCCAGAACUGCCUUCGAUACUGAGAGUCUCGAGUCCGAGAGAGGUGAGUGGAACUGCGAGUGUAGAGGUGAAAUUCGUAGAUAUUCGCAAGAACACCAGUGGCGAAGGUGGCUCACUGGCUCGGUACUGACGCUGAGGUGCGAAAGCGUGGGGAGCAAACAGG